GGGGAUGUAGCUCACGUGGUAGAGCGCAUGCUUUGCAUGUAUGAGGUCCCUGGGUUCAAUCCCCAGCUUCUCCA
Non-coding RNA from Oncorhynchus kisutch (coho salmon), 74 nucleotides. Lineage: Eukaryota; Metazoa; Chordata; Actinopteri; Salmoniformes; Salmonidae. The record is from the annotation of a RefSeq genome assembly.